AGCAGAUGGAAACAUCAUCUGAAAGUGAAGAGAUGACUGUCACCGGCUGCACUGAGACGCCAGCCGUCCCCCCUAAAAGGCCGCGCUCCAAAUCACCACCUGACAAACGCAAAAGGGAAAAGUGGAAGGAAGCAGCAUCUGAACGUGACGAGGAAACGUCGUCUGGCUCCCCUGAGUCGCCGGUCGUCCCACCCAAAAGAUGGCGCUUAAAGUUACCGACUGAAAACCUCCAAAGGUUUCAACAAUUACUUUUCAACUUGAUCAACAAGCUCUGUCCUGUAAAGGACGAACAAGUAAAUUACCAGCUCCAGAAUCGUCCUGACAAAGAGAAGAAAAGAAAGAAACGGGAUAAAGAAAAGAUUUCAUAUGUUUUUACACAUUUCUGUGGGAAGACAGAUGGUUACAAAAAAAAUCUUUUUUAUUUGGAAAAUCAUUCAGUACAGAAAUCCAGCUUUUCUCCCAAAAGAUGUAAUCAAUUUGCAUUUGCUUUUAUCGAGAUGAAUAAUGGUCCACCUAAGAUUUUUCCUAUAACUUUCCCUGAUAAGAAAGAACACUCUGAGGAAAUUUUACUUAGGCAUAUUAAUACUUUUCUGGAGAAGAACAGAACCCAUGCAAAGUCUAUUGGGAUUUAUACAGUGAAUAGUCCAUGUUUGAAGAGAUGUUUGCCUAAAAUUAUAUCAGAAUCCUAUAAGUGGCAGAAGUUUGGAAUUCUUACAGAUGUGUAUUUUUCAUCGUACUGGAGAAAAUCUUAUCUCAAAACCAUAGAUGUUUU
Salarias fasciatus (jewelled blenny) is the source of this 772-nucleotide long non-coding RNA. RefSeq lists it as uncharacterized. The record is from RefSeq and is a predicted model, not a curated record. Lineage: Eukaryota; Metazoa; Chordata; Actinopteri; Blenniiformes; Blenniidae. The transcript has 4 exons.